RNAcentral lists this ribosomal RNA (428 nucleotides) under uncultured bacterium. RNAcentral's name for it is "bacterial SSU rRNA". It matches the Rfam family "Bacterial small subunit ribosomal RNA", at positions 355 to 774 of the family's 1533-position model. The record is from RNAcentral.
UGGGGAAUAUUGCGCAAUGGGGGAAACCCUGACGCAGCGACGCCGUGUGAGGGAAGAAGGCUUUCGGGUCGUAAACCUCUGUCAGGAAGGAAGAACCUCUCAAGGCUGAACAAGCCUUGGGACUGACGGUACUUCCAGAGGAAGCACCGGCUAACUCCGUGCCAGCAGCCGCGGUAAUACGGAGGGUGCAAGCGUUGUCCGGAUUUACUGGGUGUAAAGGGUGCGCAGGCGGAUGGGUAAGUCAGGGGUGAAAGUCUGCAGCUUAACUGUAGAAUUGCCUUUGAUACUGCUCAUCUUGAGUGUGGGAGGGGUUGAUGUAAUUCCAGGUGUUGCAGUGAAAUGCGUAGAUAUCUGGAAGAACACCAGUGGCGAAGGCGGUCAACUGGCCCAUAACUGACGCUCAUGCACGAAAGCGUGGGGAGCAAACA